Molecule: ribosomal RNA, 501 nt
Filed under: uncultured bacterium
Lineage: Bacteria
Description: bacterial SSU rRNA
Rfam family: Bacterial small subunit ribosomal RNA
Source: RNAcentral
CUCAGGAUGAACGCUAGCGACAGGCCUAACACAUGCAAGGUCGAGGGGCAGCACAAGGAGCAAUCUGAGGUGGCGACCGGCGCACGGGUGAGUAACACGUAUGCAACCUGCCUGUAAGCGGGGAAUAACCCGUUGAAAGACGGACUAAUACCGCAUAAUACUAAAUUACUGCAUGGUAAUUUAUUUAAACAUUUAUGGCUUACAGAUGGGCAUGCGCAUGAUUAGCUAGUUGGAGAGGUAACGGCUCCCCAAGGCAACGAUCAUUAGGGGUUCUGAGAGGAAGGUCCCCCACACUGGUACUGAGACACGGACCAGACUCCUACGGGAGGCAGCAGUGAGGAAUAUUGGUCAAUGGACGAGAGUCUGAACCAGCCAAGUCGCGUGCAGGAAGAAUGUCCUAUGGAUUGUAAACUGCUUUUGCAGGGGAAUAAAGUGCAUCACGUGUGAUGUUUUGUAUGUACUCUGCGAAUAAGGAUCGGCUAACUCCGUGCCAGCCGCCGC